GUGUACCCUAGGGUUCCCCUGAACGCUUCAUGGGGCAAUCUUGGCUGCUGCAUAAUAUGUAGCCAUUUGGCCUUCUGAAGUGUUUGGGGGAACUCCCGGGUUUCAC
This 106-nucleotide microRNA precursor is filed under the name Olea europaea subsp. europaea. RNAcentral's name for it is "mir-395 microRNA precursor family". It matches the Rfam family "mir-395 microRNA precursor family". Rfam says of the family: mir-395 was identified in both Arabidopsis thaliana and Oryza sativa computationally and was later experimentally verified. mir-395 is thought to target mRNAs coding for ATP sulphurylases. The mature sequence is excised from the 3' arm of the hairpin. Lineage: Eukaryota; Viridiplantae; Streptophyta; Magnoliopsida; Lamiales; Oleaceae. The record is from Rfam by way of RNAcentral.